GACGAACGCUGGCGGCGUGCUUAACACAUGCAAGUCGAACGGAAAGGCCUGCUUUCCCUUGUGGAUUGCGGGUGCUCGAGUGGCGAACGGGUGAGUAACACGUGAGUGAUCUUCCCCCAACUUGGGUAUAAGCCCGGGAAACUGGGUCUAAUUCCCGAUAGGACUGCAGUGUGGUUCCUGUGGUGGAAAACGAUUUUCUAGUGGUUUGGGAUUAGCUCGCUGCCUAUCAGCUUGUUGGUUGGGUAAUGGCCUACCAAGGCGGCGACGGGUAGCCGGCCUGAGAGGGUGGACGGCAACAUUGGGACUGAGAUACGGCACAGACUCCUACGGGAGGCAGCAGUGGGGAAUAUUGCACAAUGGGCGGAAGCCAGAUGCAGCGACGCCGCGUGGGGGAUGACGGCCUUCGGGUUGUAAACUCCUUUCGACAGAGAGGAAGCCACCUGGUUGGAAGGGUGGUGACGGUAGUGGUAGAAGAAGCACCGGCUAACUACGUG
This 494-nucleotide ribosomal RNA is filed under the name uncultured bacterium. RNAcentral describes it as "partial 16S ribosomal RNA". It matches the Rfam family "Bacterial small subunit ribosomal RNA", at positions 28 to 507 of the family's 1533-position model. The record is from RNAcentral.